CCCACAUUGAAAAGCAAAUAUGUGGGGACAGACUGUCGAUCCUGAUCACUAAAAAAAGCCUAGGCUUCAAACAAACGUUGAGGGGAAUUUAAUUUCAUUGGAAGCAAGGAAUGUAAAUCCAUCCCAUUCUUGGUUCCAUUUCCCAUGCUAUAAAUAGAGCAUACCAGAUUACAACAAGAAGCACAAAGCCCUCCCACAUACUCUCUCUCUCUCUCUCUCUCUCUCUCUCUCUCUCUCUCUCUAAAAACAUUAUAGCUACAAUUCCCUCUCUCUGCUAAAAAUGGCUGGCAAACUGAUACUACCGGGGAGCAACCCUUCCACGCAGCAACUUAUCAAGGGUGACCGGAGCAUGUUCAUGACGUCCGACGACAACGUGAUGCUGAAGCAGAUCCAGGCCACCCACAAUCCCGAUGGCCGCGACAUUGACGUAAAACCCAUUCUCAACAUCGUCGAGGAUAUCCUCAGUCGUGCCACUAUGACCGUCGAUAGCAUUCUCCCGGGCGUCAUCCACGGACAUGCACAGAGCGUGGAGGACAAAGCUCAGCAAACCAGCGCCGUUGCCAUGCUUGACGCGCUAUCGUAUAUAAUCGAUCGAAUUUCCUGCGAGAUAGCAUACAAGAGUUUCGGUGGUGAAGACGGACACCAAACAACAGUCUCUCUGCUAAACAUGCUGUCAAACUACUCAUGGGAUGCUAAGCUGGUGCUGACCCUAGCAGCCUUUGCACUACACUACGGCGAGUUCUGGCUCCUGGCACAAAUCUACUCGUCAAACCAGCUCGCCAAAGCGAUGGCGAUCCUCAAGCAACUACCGAUCAUCAUGGAGCAUUCGGGCCCAUUGAAACCCAAGUUUGACGCCCUUAACAAUCUCAUCAGGGUCAUGUUGGAUUUGACCAGGUGCAUCGUCGCUUUCAAGGAGCUGCCUUCUGCUUAUUUUACUCAUGAUGUGCCGGCAUUGGCUGCAGCUGCGAAUACCAUUCCAACUGCCGUUUAUUGGGCCAUGAGAGGAGUCGUGGCUUGCGCGGCUCAGAUCAGUAGCCUCACUAGCAUUGGCCAUGAGUAUGGGACAUCCACCAUGGAGGCAUGGGAACUAUCUACCUUGGCUCACAAAAUAAACAACAUUUAUGAGCAUCUCUCGAAGCAAUUGAACAUUUGCAACCAACUCUUAGAGGAGAGGAGGAAUAACGAAUCUUACGAUGCGCUGCGGAAUAUCUUUGAAAUGAUCCAUAUCGAUAACAUGAAAGUUCUCAAGGCCCUGAUUUAUGCCAGGGAUGAUCAGCCACCACUCUUUGAUGGCUCUACCAAGAGAAGGGUUAAUCUCGAAGUUCUGAGGAGGAAGAAUGUGCUACUCCUAAUAUCAAGCCUAGACAUCUCCCCAGACGAGCUAUCGAUUCUGGAACAAAUCUACAACGAGUCCCGACAACACGCGACAAGGCUGGACAACCUCUACGAGGUGGUUUGGAUCCCGAUUGUGGACCGCAGGGUGCAGCAGUGGACAGACCCGAUGCAGAAACAGUUUGAGAGCCUGCAAUCCACCAUGCCGUGGUACUCGGUGCACCACCCUUCUCUGAUCGAUCGGGCGGUGAUCAGAUUCGUGAAGGAGAGGUGGCAUUUCCGCAACAAGCCUAUCCUCGUGGUGCUGGACCCGCAGGGGAGGGUGGUGAGCCCCAAUGCCAUACACAUGAUGUGGAUCUGGGGGAGCAAUGCUUUCCCCUUCACUAGCUUGAGAGAGGAGAAUUUGUGGAAGGAGGAGACUUGGAAGCUUGAGUUGCUUGUGAAUGGGAUUGACCAAACAGUUCUGAAUUGGAUAAGGGAUGAGAAAUACAUUUUCGUGUACGGAGGGGAUGACAUCGAGUGGAUCCGAAGAUUCACCACAACAGCACGAUCCGUGGCGCAAUCUGCUCGUAUCCCUCUAGAGAUGGUCUACGUGGGAAAGAGCAGCAAGAAAGAACAAGUCCGGAAAAUCGUCGCCACCAUCACAAACGAGAAGCUCAGCCACACAUGGCAAGACCUCAUGAUAUGGUUCUUCUGGACUCGACUGGAGAGCAUGCUGUUUUCCAAGAUCCAGCUCGGGAGGCUCGACGACCAGGACCCCAUGAUGCAGGAAAUCAAGAAAUUGCUCAGCUACGACAAGAGCGGAGGCUGGGCCGUGCUGAGCCGAGGGGCGGAAGUUGUGGUGAACGGACACGGGACCAAGGUGAUGCCAACCCUGCUGGAGUACGACUUGUGGAAGGAACACGUGGCCACUAAAGGGUUUGACCGAUCGUUCAAGGAUCAUCAUGACAUGCUUCAUGGGACUGAGCACCCGUGUUGCCGGUUUGAGUUUCUGAGCACGGCCGGUACCGGGAGGAUACCGGAGGGCAUGAAGUGCCCGGAGUGCCUCCGCGCUAUGGAGAAGUACAUCACUUUUUGCUGCUGCCACGAUGAAAAUCCCAGUACUGCAGCAUUCUACUGAAGGUUCAAGCUAGGUGCUUGAUAUAUAUGGUACUCAAUAAUGGAGUGUGUUUUAUUUUUUGUUUUCCUCUAUGGAAUAAGGAAGGUUUGAUGUCAAAUAAUGUGACGUUUAGGUCACAAUUGUGGACUUUGACGAGGUUGGUCCUCUUAUAUAUAUGCUUGUAUAAAUAAGAGCCAUUUUCACGUGGUUUUAUAUAUGAAAUAAACUGCAAAUGUUUUGAGUGCUUUAA
RNA transcript from Rhododendron vialii, 2681 nucleotides. It is a transcript of the gene named protein SIEVE ELEMENT OCCLUSION B-like, with no coding region annotated. The record is from RefSeq and is a predicted model, not a curated record. The transcript is spliced from 8 exons. Lineage: Eukaryota; Viridiplantae; Streptophyta; Magnoliopsida; Ericales; Ericaceae.